GCCUAUCGGCACGCAUGCGGCAUAGCUUGACAGCUGCGAUCUCAGUACGCAGCACUACGUUUUAAAAAAAAAGGAAUGUGCGGGGCGCUUGGGUGCCAGACUUGCAGACUCCGCUUUCAUGCACGACCUGCAAAAUCCAGAGCCACACGGCAACAGAAGGAAUGAUGAACACCAGCCUCCAGGUAGUUAUUGCUGUGGCCAUUCUGGCGAUGACUAUAGCCUACCACGAGCCCCCCUGUUAUCCAGGAAAGGGAGAAGUGUUGAAGCUGGUUGGAAGCAGCAACUGUGCCGAAAAAAUGUGCCAAAGCAAAACUUCAAGACGGCGUUGCAAGCGGGACACAGCAUGCCUAUGUGUUUGUCCGGAUGGCAAAUACCGGAGACGUAAAGACGACAUGUGCGUCACCCUAGAAAAAUGCAAGGAUACUUUAACCGGGAGUAUAAAAGGACCCUCUUUAAGUCUCCGACAACAAUAAAUCGCACUCUGAAACCCGCAGAACCUGA
This 501-nucleotide long non-coding RNA is filed under the name Dermacentor andersoni. Its description in RNAcentral is "uncharacterized LOC126537844". The record is from RNAcentral. Lineage: Eukaryota; Metazoa; Arthropoda; Arachnida; Ixodida; Ixodidae.